UACGAAGGACCCGAGCGUUAUCCGGAUUUAUUGGGUUUAAAGCGUGCGCAGGCGGUUCGCCAAGUCAGGUGUGAAAUCCCCGGGCUUAACCUGGGAAUUGCGCUUGAAACUAGCGGGCUUGAGUGUGGCAGAGGGGGGUGGAAUUCCACGUGUAGCAGUGAAAUGCGUAGAGAUGUGGAGGAACACCGAUGGCGAAGGCAGCCCCCUGGGUCAACACUGACGCUCAUGCACGAAAGCGUGGGGAGCAAACAGG
Molecule: ribosomal RNA, 253 nt
Filed under: uncultured bacterium
Lineage: Bacteria
Description: partial 16S ribosomal RNA
Rfam family: Bacterial small subunit ribosomal RNA
Source: RNAcentral